Coffea eugenioides is the source of this 1509-nucleotide long non-coding RNA. RefSeq lists it as uncharacterized. The record is from RefSeq and is a predicted model, not a curated record. NCBI's taxonomy places the organism in Eukaryota, Viridiplantae, Streptophyta, Magnoliopsida, Gentianales, Rubiaceae. The transcript has 11 exons.
UCUUCUCCCCUUCUCUCCUUCGCCUCACCUUUAUCCUCAGAAGCUAAACCGAUCCCAACAGUCCUUGAUCAGAUCUUUCCCUCUUCCUCUUGCUCUCAAAAUCUUUAUUAUCUCUCCUUCUUCUUUCCUUCCAACUCUUUGAUUUUAUUCUUGAAUAUUACUUCAACUUUUUUAUUUUUUUUCUUUAUUCUCAUGUUUACUGCGCCUGCCUGCCGUCCCCAAUUCCCCACUCAACUCGCCACACCGGCUACUACGACCAAUUUGUCAUGUCUCCCAGCUCCGGACGUCACAGAAUUUAAAAGCUACCAGUUGCCACUUUCUGCUGGUCCCUAGGCUUUUCUUUUCUAUCCACAGCACUCCACCCGUCCAUCCGGCCCAAGCUUACAGCUAGAUGAAGGAACAAAGCAUAGGCCUCCACUACCCGUGCCAACUGCCUAUUUGUUCCGUGUUUUCAUUUAACAUUUGAAGCUUCAAACCCUGUAAACGAUACCUAACCUUUUCCACAAUCGUCUUUUAUUUUCGUUCCUUGGCUGAGAGACUGCCGACUUUGUCUUGGCUGGGAUUACUUUUGAUUUGUUGACUUUUAUUUUUCGGUCAAAUAUAGAACCGAGAGUGAAGCAUUGACUGCUGCUUCCUCUCUAUUGUUUCAGGUACUACCUCGGUUCUUCCGUUACUUUCCGUUAAUUAGUGAUUAUUUUUCUCUCUUCUAUUUGGUUGCGUCGAUGUUUUGUCUUGUUUUUUCUGGAAUGCAGCUAGAGUGUAGAUAUGUGGUGGCCCUCUUAGAGAUGAUCUGAAAGAAAAUAUUCAAUCCCAGAUCUUCAAGCUAAAGUAGUAGAGUGAGGUUGUUGCAGUUAAGCAAUUGGAUAGAAAUAGACUCUAAGGGACCAGAGGCUACUUGUCUAUUAGUUCAUGCCCUUGGGAUCAUUGGAAGAUCAUCUUCAUGGGUUCAGCUGCAGAAAGUGCUUUCUCGGGGAUUUGAUGAAAGUUCUUGGCCACUCCAAACUAAAACCGGCAGCUUCUAGAAAUAGCUCAAGUUCCUGAUGAACAUGUGAAUGAAUUCAAGUUGAUAGGGAAGUUCAAAAUUUUCAAUCCCAACAACUUAUGGGUGAACUUGAAAGCAAUCAAAAGACUUGUACAAUAAAGUGCACUGAAGAUGGAGAUUAUUCCAAAUCCAAAGGUUUAUCAAUAUGGCAUUUCACAUUCAGUCUCCUCUCUACCAACAACCAAAGUCCGACCUGUACACUUUGUCUGAUGACGGCUAUGUGGUCUGCAACGAGGCUAGGAAAAAUCCAACUAACCCAACUAUGAAUUGGGACCUGAAUUUAAGAAGGUAGGCAACUUCUUAAGUCGUAUCAAGUCUAUUCCCAGUAUUGUUGAACUAGACAGCCUAAAGAUGAGUGGUGAUGGUGGUUUGGAUCUGGUAUCACCCUGAAGGACUGGUUCCAAAACUGAGCUUGCUCCAGUUUCAGUUUCAACAGGAUCUCGCACUGAUGCAAUACCAUAUUCUGG